Molecule: ribosomal RNA, 253 nt
Filed under: uncultured bacterium
Lineage: Bacteria
Description: partial 16S ribosomal RNA
Rfam family: Bacterial small subunit ribosomal RNA
Source: RNAcentral
GACAGAGGCCACAAGCGUUAGGCGGAAUCACUGGGCUUAAAGCGUGUGUAGGCGGAUCGUUAAGUGCUUUGUGAAAUCCCUCGGCUCAACCGGGGAAUUGCUGGGCAUACUGGCGGUCUUGAGCUACCUAAGGGCAGCUGGAACAAACGGUGGAGCGGUUAAAUGCGUAGAAAUCGUUUGGAACGCCAAAGGUGAAAACAGGCUGCUGGGGGUAUGCUCACGCUGAGACACGAAAGCCAGGGGAGCAAACGGG